UACGAAGGGGGCUAGCGUUGCUCGGAAUCACUGGGCGUAAAGGGCGCGUAGGCGGCCAUUCAAGUCAGAGGUGAAAGCCCAAGGCUCAACCUUGGAACUGCCUUUGAUACUGUUUGGCUUGAGACCGGUAGAGGUAAGUGGAACUGCGAGUGUAGAGGUGAAAUUCGUAGAUAUUCGCAAGAACACCAGUGGCGAAGGCGGCUUACUGGACCGGUUCUGACGCUGAGGCGCGAAAGCGUGGGGAGCAAGCAGG
This 253-nucleotide ribosomal RNA is filed under the name uncultured bacterium. Its description in RNAcentral is "partial 16S ribosomal RNA". It matches the Rfam family "Bacterial small subunit ribosomal RNA", at positions 524 to 776 of the family's 1533-position model. The record is from RNAcentral.